CAAUAGCGUAUAUUAAAGCUGUUGCGGUUAAAAAGCUCGUAGUUGGAUUUCUGUCAAGGACAACUGGUCCGCCCUCCGGGUGAGCACAUAGUUUGGUCUUGGCAUCUUGCUGGAAACUGUUGCUGCGCUUGGUUGUGUGGUGCAGCUUUCAGCACUUUCACUUUGAGGAAAUUGGAGUGUUUCAAGCAGGCACAUGCCUUUGGACACAGUAGCAUGGAAUAAUUAGAUUGGGCUUUUGCUCCAACUUGUUGGUUCCUGGAGCUGAGGUGAGAAUCAAUGGGGAUUGUUGGGGGCAUCCGAAUUUAGCCGUCAGAGGUGAAAUUCUUGGAUCUGCUAAAGACGGACAACUGCGAANGNGUUUGCNCAGGAUGUUUNCAUUG
Molecule: ribosomal RNA, 380 nt
Filed under: uncultured eukaryote
Lineage: Eukaryota
Description: partial 18S ribosomal RNA
Rfam family: Eukaryotic small subunit ribosomal RNA
Source: RNAcentral